AUGACCAGCUUGCUCGGGAAGUUGGUUGAGGGUUGGACGUCCCUUAAUGGCUCUGACAGCGACGCGGUUGCGAGGCAGUUCACUCCAUUUGUUGCAGAACGGACACAUCGGCCAACUGGUUGCCGUGGUCGGUACGACGACAACAGCUCGCAGGAGCUUCCUGACACACAAGAUGAACUAGAUGGAGAUGCUGCUCUCAACAAGGACAAUGACGAUGACAUGGAGAACGUGCAACAUGACACCGACGAUGAUGAACAUGUUGAAGUUCGUGCAGGUGGUAAGAAGGGCAAGGGUGCACCAGAUGUCCCCUCACCGGAGAAAGUCAAAGAACAGACAGCUGCGAGAGGCAAGGGGGUGUCGCCCUCAAAGAGGGGGAGGGAUCCAGAGGAUGUUGGGCAGGGCUCUCCUGUCAAGAGACCUAGGACCGAUCCCUUAGCUGCUAGGAGGAGGUUCGACUUCUAUUUUAGUGUUUUGUUUUGUCUCUCCUUUCUAAUAGACUGA
Molecule: ribosomal RNA, 501 nt
Filed under: Triticum aestivum (bread wheat)
Lineage: Eukaryota; Viridiplantae; Streptophyta; Magnoliopsida; Poales; Poaceae
Description: partial small subunit ribosomal RNA
Source: RNAcentral